Molecule: non-coding RNA, 685 nt
Organism: Gasterosteus aculeatus aculeatus (three-spined stickleback)
Lineage: Eukaryota; Metazoa; Chordata; Actinopteri; Perciformes; Gasterosteidae
Source: RefSeq, a predicted model, not a curated record
AUCUCAAUAUUCACGGCAGUGAAUAAAUGGAAUCAUUGGCUGAGAACACGUCAUGUCCGAUACGAUAGGUGGCGCUGUUUUCAUUACAACUAGUUGUGAUGCAGCCAUUUCCGCUUGACCUCUUCACCACGACCAACAACAACAACAACAACAACAUCAACGUCAGGAGAAAGACGGCGAGCGGAGAGCGAGGUGAAGCUACGUCCCUCGACUAUGUGUGCGUGAUGCUAACAGCAGCGCGGCGAAUGCGAAUGGCGCUAUUGGCUGAUUCGAUAACGGAGAGAAGACGCCGUCGCCGAAGCUUGUGGAGCAUCAGCUGUAAGAUGCCUGGGUGAGCUCAUGACGCUAACGUGCUCAGCCAGACACGCCUGUUAGCAGAAGAACCGAGAGAAAUCGCUCACUUCCUGUUGGGAAGCUGUGGAUCCCAACUGGUCAGUGGAAGCGGCCACACUGGCAUCGAACCUGCCACAGCCAGGUGGUCGUGCCAACAACCGUGGACAGAGGAUCAGAGCCGCCCUCAGAUUACCUGAGUGCAAACCUGCCCCGCGCAGACCUUUAGACGUCUUCAGGACACAACUGCCAGCUGGUCAUAGGUUUGUAAACACAAUUCUUGUACAGUUCAUGUGUGUUUCAUUCCACAAAUAAAGAAACUCACAGAAGUUUUAGUUAAGUGUUUUAUUUAUAC